GGUUAAGUGACUAAGCGUACACGGUGGAUGCCCUGGCAGUCAGAGGCGAUGAAGGACGUGCUAAUCUGCGAAAAGCGUCGGUAAGGUGAUAUGAACCGUUAUAACCGGCGAUGUCCGAAUGGGGAAACCCAGUGCAAUUCGUUGCACUAUCGUUAACUGAAUACAUAGGUUAACGAGGCGAACCGGGGGAACUGAAACAUCUAAGUACCCCGAGGAAAAGAAAUCAACCGAGAUUCCCCCAGUAGCGGCGAGCGAACGGGGAGCAGCCCAGAGUCUGAAUCAGCUUGUGUGUUAGUGGAACGGUCUGGAAAGUCCGACGGUACAGGGUGAUAGUCCCGUACACCAAAAUGCACAGGCUGUGAACUCGAAGAGUAGGGCGGGACACGUGGUAUCCUGUCUGAAUAUGGGGGGACCAUCCUCCAAGGCUAAAUACUCCUGACUGACCGAUAGUGAACCAGUACCGUGAGGGAAAGGCGAAAAGAACCCCGGCGAGGGGAGUGAAAAAGAACCUGAAACCGUGUACGUACAAGCAGUGGGAGCACCUUCGGGUGUGACUGCGUACCUUUUGUAUAAUGGGUCAGCGACUUAUAUUCUGUAGCAAGGUUAACCGUAUAGGGGAGCCGCAGGGAAACCGAGUCUUAACUGGGCGUUAAGUUGCAGGGUAUAGACCCGAAACCCGGUGAUCUAGCCAUGGGCAGGUUGAAGGUUGGGUAACACUAACUGGAGGACCGAACCGACUAAUGUUGAAAAAUUAGCGGAUGACUUGUGGCUGGGGGUGAAAGGCCAAUCAAACCGGGAGAUAGCUGGUUCUCCCCGAAAGCUAUUUAGGUAGCGCCUCGUGAACUCAUCUUCGGGGGUAGAGCACUGUUUCGGCUAGGGGGUCAUCCCGACUUACCAACCCGAUGCAAACUACGAAUACCGAAGAAUGUUAUCACGGGAGACACACGGCGGGUGCUAACGUCCGUCGUGAAGAGGGAAACAACCCAGACCGCCAGCUAAGGUCCCAAAGUCAUGGUUAAGUGGGAAACGAUGUGGGAAGGCACAGACAGCCAGGAUGUUGGCUUAGAAGCAGCCAUCAUUUAAAGAAAGCGUAAUAGCUCACUGGUCGAGUCGGCCUGCGCGGAAGAUGUAACGGGGCUAAACCAUGCACCGAAGCUGCGGCAGCGACACUAUGUGUUGUUGGGUAGGGGAGCGUUCUGUAAGCCUGCGAAGGUGACCUGUGAGGGUUGCUGGAGGUAUCAGAAGUGCGAAUGCUGACAUAAGUAACGAUAAAGCGGGUGAAAAGCCCGCUCGCCGGAAGACCAAGGGUUCCUGUCCAACGUUAAUCGGGGCAGGGUGAGUCGACCCCUAAGGCGAGGCCGAAAGGCGUAGUCGAUGGGAAACAGGUUAAUAUUCCUGUACUUGGUGUUACUGCGAAGGGGGGACGGAGAAGGCUAUGUUAGCCGGGCGACGGUUGUCCCGGUUUAAGCAUGUAGGCUGGUUGUCCAGGCAAAUCCGGAUAAUCAAGGCUGAGGUGUGAUGACGAGGCACUACGGUGCUGAAGUAACAAAUGCCCUGCUUCCAGGAAAAGCCUCUAAGCAUCAGGUAACAUCAAAUCGUACCCCAAACCGACACAGGUGGUCAGGUAGAGAAUACCAAGGCGCUUGAGAGAACUCGGGUGAAGGAACUAGGCAAAAUGGUGCCGUAACUUCGGGAGAAGGCACGCUGGUGUGUAGGUGAAGUCCCUGCGGAUGGAGCUGAGACCAGUCGAAGAUACCAGCUGGCUGCAACUGUUUAUUAAAAACACAGCACUGUGCAAACACGAAAGUGGACGUAUACGGUGUGACGCCUGCCCGGUGCCGGAAGGUUAAUUGAUGGGGUUAUCCGUAAGGAGAAGCUCUUGAUCGAAGCCCCGGUAAACGGCGGCCGUAACUAUAACGGUCCUAAGGUAGCGAAAUUCCUUGUCGGGUAAGUUCCGACCUGCACGAAUGGCGUAAUGAUGGCCAGGCUGUCUCCACCCGAGACUCAGUGAAAUUGAACUCGCUGUGAAGAUGCAGUGUACCCGCGGCAAGACGGAAAGACCCCGUGAACCUUUACUAUAGCUUGACACUGAACAUUGAGCCUUGAUGUGUAGGAUAGGUGGGAGGCUUUGAAGCGUGGACGCCAGUCUGCGUGGAGCCAACCUUGAAAUACCACCCUUUAAUGUUUGAUGUUCUAACGUUGGCCCCUGACCGGGGUUGCGGACAGUGUCUGGUGGGUAGUUUGACUGGGGCGGUCUCCUCCCAAAGCGUAACGGAGGAGCACGAAGGUUAGCUAAUCCUGGUCGGACAUCAGGAGGUUAGUGCAAUGGCAUAAGCUAGCUUGACUGCGAGCGUGACGGCGCGAGCAGGUGCGAAAGCAGGUCAUAGUGAUCCGGUGGUUCUGAAUGGAAGGGCCAUCGCUCAACGGAUAAAAGGUACUCCGGGGAUAACAGGCUGAUACCGCCCAAGAGUUCAUAUCGACGGCGGUGUUUGGCACCUCGAUGUCGGCUCAUCACAUCCUGGGGCUGAAGUAGGUCCCAAGGGUAUGGCUGUUCGCCAUUUAAAGUGGUACGCGAGCUGGGUUUAGAACGUCGUGAGACAGUUCGGUCCCUAUCUGCCGUGGGCGCUGGAGAAUUGAGGGGGGCUGCUCCUAGUACGAGAGGACCGGAGUGGACGCAUCACUGGUGUUCGGGUUGUCAUGCCAAUGGCACUGCCCGGUAGCUAAAUGCGGAAGAGAUAAGUGCUGAAAGCAUCUAAGCACGAAACUUGCCCCGAGAUGAGUUCUCCCUGAGACUUUAAGUCUCCUGAAGGAACGUUAAAGACGAUGACGUUGAUAGGCCGGGUGUGUAAGCGCAGCGAUGCGUUGAGCUAACCGGUACUAAUGAACCGUGAGGCUUAACCUU
RNAcentral lists this ribosomal RNA (2902 nucleotides) under Klebsiella pneumoniae. Its description in RNAcentral is "23S ribosomal RNA". It matches the Rfam family "Bacterial large subunit ribosomal RNA". The record is from RNAcentral. Lineage: Bacteria; Pseudomonadati; Pseudomonadota; Gammaproteobacteria; Enterobacterales; Enterobacteriaceae.